RNAcentral lists this ribosomal RNA (471 nucleotides) under Triticum aestivum (bread wheat). RNAcentral's name for it is "partial small subunit ribosomal RNA". Lineage: Eukaryota; Viridiplantae; Streptophyta; Magnoliopsida; Poales; Poaceae. The record is from RNAcentral.
AUGAAUUUUCCCAAAUUUGAUGGUAAGGAUGUCCGAAUCUGGCUGGAUGGCUGUGAUGCUUACUUUGCACUGUAUGACAUUCCAGAAAAUUUCAAAGUCACUUCAUUAACUCUGCAUUUGGAAGGGGAUGCAGCUCACUGGUAUCAUUCAUACAAAUUGUCAGUUGGCUGGGUGGAUUGGAUGAGUUUCAGAGAGGCUGUGCUUGCAGAAUUUGAUGUGAAUGUGCAUAGAGAAACAAUGAGAGCCCUACUUCUUCUGAAACAGAAGGGAACGGUGGAGGAGUACAAAAGGGAGUUCCUCCAAUUAAUGUAUCAGAUCAAGCUUUAUGAGCCAGCAGUCAGUGAGACUUUCUUGGUAACCAGAUUUAUGUUAGGGCUAAAGGAGGAGCUCAAGGGAGCGGUAGAGAUACAAUUUUCCAUAUCCAUCACGGCUGCAGCAGCUUUUGCAACAGUGCAGGAAGCCACCAUGGCU